AUUGAACGCUGGCGGCAUGCCUUACACAUGCAAGUCGAACGGCAGCGCGGGGCAACCUGGCGGCGAGUGGCGAACGGGUGAGUAAUAUAUCGGAACGUACCCUGGAGUGGGGGAUAACGUAGCGAAAGUUACGCUAAUACCGCAUACGAUCUAAGGAUGAAAGUGGGGGAUUCGCAAGAACCUCAUGCUCCUGGAGCGGCCGAUAUCUGAUUAGCUAGUUGGUGGGGUAAAGGCCUACCAAGGCAUCGAUCAGUAGCUGGUCUGAGAGGACGACCAGCCACACUGGAACUGAGACACGGUCCAGACUCCUACGGGAGGCAGCAGUGGGGAAUUUUGGACAAUGGGCGAAAGCCUGAUCCAGCAAUGCCGCGUGAGUGAAGAAGGCCUUCGGGUUGUAAAGCUCUUUUGUCAGGGAAGAAACGGUGAGGGCUAAUAUCCUUUGCUAAUGACGGUACCUGAAGAAUAAGCACCGGCUAACUACGUGCCAGCAGCCGCGGUAAUACGUAGGGUGCAAGCGUUAAUCGGAAUUACUGGGCGUAAAGCGUGCGCAGGCGGUUUUGUAAGUCUGUCGUGAAAUCCCCGGGCUCAACCUGGGAAUUGCGAUGGAGACUGCAAGGCUAGAAUCUGGCAGAGGGGGGUAGAAUUCCACGUGUAGCAGUGAAAUGCGUAGAGAUGUGGAGGAACACCGAUGGCGAAGGCAGCCCCCUGGGUCAAGAUUGACGCUCAUGCACGAAAGCGUGGGGAGCAAACAGGAUUAGAUACCCUGGUAGUCCACGCCCUAAACGAUGUCUACUAGUUGUCGGGUUUUAAUUAACUUGGUAACGCAGCUAACGCGUGAAGUAGACCACCUGGGGAGUACGGUCGCAAGAUUAAAACUCAAAGGAAUUGACGGGGACCCGCACAAGCGGUGGAUGAUGUGGAUUAAUUCGAUGCAACGCGAAAAACCUUACCUACCCUUGACAUGUACGGAAGUCCGGAGAGAUCUGGAUGUGCUCGAAAGAGAGCCGUAACACAGGUGCUGCAUGGCUGUCGUCAGCUCGUGUCGUGAGAUGUUGGGUUAAGUCCCGCAACGAGCGCAACCCUUGUCAUUAGUUGCUACGAAAGGGCACUCUAAUGAGACUGCCGGUGACAAACCGGAGGAAGGUGGGGAUGACGUCAAGUCCUCAUGGCCCUUAUGGGUAGGGCUUCACACGUCAUACAAUGGUACAUACAGAGGGCCGCCAACCCGCGAGGGGGAGCUAAUCCCAGAAAGUGUAUCGUAGUCCGGAUUGUAGUCUGCAACUCGACUACAUGAAGUUGGAAUCGCUAGUAAUCGCGGAUCAGCAUGUCGCGGUGAAUACGUUCCCGGGUCU
This 1352-nucleotide ribosomal RNA is filed under the name uncultured bacterium. RNAcentral's name for it is "bacterial SSU rRNA". It matches the Rfam family "Bacterial small subunit ribosomal RNA", at positions 28 to 1381 of the family's 1533-position model. The record is from RNAcentral.